AAUGGCCUAGCGCCCCUUCUCUCUCCCGUGGAAGCAAUUCCCCAUUUCUCCACCCGCUAGGGUUUCAUCUCGGCGAUUAGGAUGGCGAUUUCGUUGGCAGAGGGCGCGAGCGCGCGAGGAUGCGUUCUGCUCGUCGGUGGAGGAAGAGAGCGCGGGGGAGGAAGGCUCGCUCGUUGGCGAAGGGCGAUCCGCGCGGUAGUGCGGUGAGCUCUACGUCGGGGAGCAAGGCUACCGGUCGGGCGGCGAGCUCUGCGGCGGAGAGCCAGAAGCGCGCGACGGCGAGGAGCGAGACGGCGGAGAUAUAGUCGUGCGCGAUGACAGGGUGCGAGGUGACGAAGGUCUGCGAAGGAUUUUGCCGACGUCGAGUUAGAAAGUUGAAAGAAGAUGUUGGCGCCACCACAAGAAAUGGUCUUUUUGUUGGGAUAAAAAGGACCGAAGAAUUUGUAUCUUCGAAGUUGCCAUGUGGUUUUUUCCUAUGAGCAUAAGCAUUAUAAUGUGCUCUUGCACUUAUAACAAUGUCAAACCGCAUCCCAAUAAAUGAUUCAUGUGUACUGGAUGCAACUUCCUCAUUCAUGCCAGCUUCGUCAGGAACUCCUUUCAAGUUAGGGUAUGUUGUAGAUUUUAUGUGCAAUGUAGUUCUGGGACUGCUUUGGUUGACUGUAGUGUGUGGUGGCCCAUGGUGACGCGCCUCCUGCCACUGUUCAUCGUAACCACCGACCACUGCUCCUUGGUCAUGUAUAUUUGGCUUUGGAGAUUUGCCAACCAUCUCUUGUGCGGCAGCUUGAGUGCAAAACUGUGGCUCCAUGCCGUUCAUGCCAAAAUCUUCAGUUGGGGGAGCAUUGAGAUCCAAUCCUGACAUAUUUAAAAAUGAGAAUGUUCACUUGAAUUUAUUUUUAAUAUUCUAGUAAUGACCAUGGAGAAGUUUGUUGCUGCAUCUAACUAAGUUGUGUACUGAUCAUGGGUUAGUUGUUUCCUUAUCAUGCUUAAGUUGUGUACUGACAAACAUUAGCAAAAUGCAACCCACAUCAACUACUUCUUUUGUAGCAAGAUAGUUAUGUUGUAUAUUGGUUUCAUUGAGUUUUUUUUGUUCUUUUGAACUUGGUUUACUUUCGAGUUACUACUAGAAACCCACAAGUAGUAUAAUGAAUUAAUUGACAUGCCCCGAAGUAGUAUACCGAUUUAACUGAGUUCUUUCUUGGCAUCCGGCUAAGUUGCUUUCUUAGACUAGAUAAGUUGUUUUACGCAACCUAACUAACUUUAUUUCACCAUGCAUUUAAUUUUUGGUUAAACAACCAAUGAUGUUCCUUAGCUUAAUAAUGAAUUUAAUUUAAAACUUGCUUUUCUAGCAAACUAACUUGAAAUCUGGUAACACAAAAAUGACAAAAGAGACGAACAAGCGUUCUCGCUUGCGUUUACCAGAAGCUGAGGCGUAGCAGGGAGCCUUCCAUGGCCUCGUCCGAAAACUUCCCAGCAGGUAUGUGUUUAAGGACGAGAGAUACAUACAUGAAACUCUCAACUAUUGCGAGAUGGAAAAAUGUAGCCAUUGAAUUUAUGAAUCAAGAGUAUGAACUAAAGAGUGGAUCAGUUCCGGAUAUUACUCACAACUACCUAAUAGUUCUGAGUGUAACAGAUAAACUAGAAAAUUUACAGAUACUUUUAUGGGGGUAGUUUUAGUUCUUCUGGUUCCUAUUAAGCUAUAUGGAUAAGUUGUCUAGCGAUUUAAUUAAAUUGUUUUAUAUCUAUGCUUAAGUUGUGUACUGAAAUAAGUUAAGUUGAUUCCUCGAGCAUUCUUAAGUUGUUGGUAUCCGUACAAUUUACUAGCUGGUUCUUUUAAGCAACAUGCAUAAGUUGUCUAGAGAUUUAAUUAAGUUAUUUUAUCACUAUGCUCAAGUUGAGUAUACUGAAAUAAAUUAAGUUGAUUCCUAGAGUAUGCUCAAGUUGUCGGGUGUUGGUAUAAUCUAUUUAGGUGUUCCUUUUAAGCAACAUGCAUAAGUUGUCUACUGAUUUUAUUUUUUGCUUUGUCAACAUGCUUAAGUUGAGUAUACUGAAAUUAAUCAAGUUGAUUCCUCCAGCAUGCUUAAGUUUGUGGGUAUUGGCGCAAUCUCUGUAGGUGUUCCUUUUGAGCAACAAGCAUAAGUUGUUCACUGGUUUAGUUUGUUGCCUUGUCAACAUGCUUAAGUUGAAACGGAAAAUUAAUUAAGUUCUAUUUUUAGUAUGCUUAAGUUGUAUGUGUAUCUACAAUCUAUCUUGGUUUUCAUUUUCAAGCAACAUGCAUAAGUUGGUUACUGGUCUAAUUAAGUUGCCUUGUCAACAUGCUUAAUGUGCUUAUUUGUGAUAUUGCUAAGAUGUACCAGGAAGCGGUGGAUCCUGGACAGCGUACCUAGUACCAUCUCGAGCGAGGUAGUGGUGGAGGUCAUGGCGCCUAGCGGCACCCCCGAUGCCUAGCGCGAGCGGAAGCCCGCCGUGGUUGCUGGCCAAGGAAUAGAACAUGUAUAUUUUUGUGAUCCACUCGCAAUUUUCAGUCAAAUCGAGAUAUCCAUGGAGUUCUGGACGAAGAAGAAGACCUGUAAUAGUAGUUUGUCUUGCAGAAAGGAAGAAGAGAUGGAGUAGUUUGCCAAGCACAUCGCACGCCAUGCACUGUGUUGUUUUGUACCUUACGUGUAACCUCCCUUUUCUUGGUUGGGUGCUGAAUCAGUCAAACCAGCAUCCGGAUGCUGGGUUGGACAAACAAGCAUCCCGAUGCUGGGAUGGACAAACCAGCACCGGAUGCUGGCUAGCCGGGUCCAAACCUGUGGCACCCCCGG
Non-coding RNA from Lolium perenne, 2804 nucleotides. The record is from RefSeq and is a predicted model, not a curated record. Lineage: Eukaryota; Viridiplantae; Streptophyta; Magnoliopsida; Poales; Poaceae.